UGGUGCGGUGACUUGUCUGGUUAAUUUCGAUAACGAACGAGAUCCGAGCUAUCUAGUUGUGUCAUGCUAUUCUUCAUAGCGUGAUAUUUUUUAGAUGGACCAUCAGUACUAAACUGAAGGAAGUGACGGGCUAAAUCA
Molecule: ribosomal RNA, 138 nt
Filed under: uncultured eukaryote
Lineage: Eukaryota
Description: partial 18S ribosomal RNA
Rfam family: Eukaryotic small subunit ribosomal RNA
Source: RNAcentral